CUCACAAAGAGGGGAUUAUUUCACUCUAAUGGAGGCCGAGAGAAUGAGGGGAUUAUAUGCCAAGCAUAUUGUCCAAAAUAGGUAGGUUACAAUUAGGGUUAAGUGUUGGAUCAACAAACUAGGCUCGACUCAAAUAAUUGGGCCUCAAUAAUAAUAAAAUAGCCUUCCAAGGAAUGGUGCGAGAACCGUGAGCAACACUAUAAAAUAGGUUACUUCGAACGGUCCAUAACAAAGUGGAUUGUGUUAUCUCGUUAAUUGUGUCGAUGUACUAAUCAAUCAUUAGGUCGAGGCCGAUUGAUAUUAAACAACCGAGGUUACAUCAUCGCCCGGGGAGGUCGUUUAACAACAAAAUUGCCUAACACUGCAUUAUCAAUACUGAACCUAAUAUUCAAGCUGCUGUUGAUAAACUAUGAGCUGGAAUAAUGUUGAUAGAUUCAGCAUUUUCUCAGCCAUAUGACUACCUCAGGUCGAGAGGAACAAAGGUAAUAUGGCCGACUGUGUUUAGAAUGCAUAUGUGACACCGAAACAUGUCUUUAUUAUGUGGUUAGCAGCUAAGUCUAAACUGCUAACUAAGGACAGAUUGAUCGAAGGUGCAACCUUUUUGAGAGUAUGGAUGAAUAUAUUGGGCACCUGUUUUUCACUUACCCUUUCAGCCAUUCAGUUUGGGAUAUAAUCCCUGCAUGGGUAGGUCUUCGGAGGUCCAUGUCUACUCUUCACAAUACAAUGAAAUGGAUAAAAAGGGAAAGUCGGGACACAUCUUGGCAUAGCAAAGCUAAACGUAAAGAUUUUUGAUGGCCUUACUCCACAUGUUGAUAUUAUUGUUCGACGGAUCAAAACACAUGUAUACAAAGUUACGUUUUCUUUGUAUCUAAAUGCUUAGAUUCGAUUUGAGUCCUUAGCUAUGGGUCUCUAGAUUGUUUUGAUUGUUCUUCCUCAUUGUAUUUUGUUUUGCCUGGGAAUGCCCGGUAUACUUGUAUAAGUACUUGACUUUGAUUUGGUUUCCCGGGAUUGCCCAACGUAUUUGUAUAUGAUUUUGAUUAAUAUAAUUUACAUUUACUGAUAAAAAACAAAAGCUCUUUUUGGUCACCAAAACCUCGGAUUGGUAGUCGUCAGUUGUCCGGUGACAUGUAGUGGGUUGAACGAUCAGCUUCGAUGUGUUUCGGAUAAUGUAUUAAAAUAGUCUUUUAGUAAUUUAUUUUUUUCUAUUUCAUAUUUAUUCCUUGGGAG
RNAcentral lists this long non-coding RNA (1227 nucleotides) under Olea europaea subsp. europaea. Lineage: Eukaryota; Viridiplantae; Streptophyta; Magnoliopsida; Lamiales; Oleaceae. The record is from RNAcentral.